GCCUUCCUAGCUCAGCAGGCAGAGCACCUGGCUUCCACCCAGGCGGCGCGGGUUCGAACCCCGCGGGAGGCU
RNAcentral lists this transfer RNA (72 nucleotides) under Brachybacterium sp. SW0106-09. Its description in RNAcentral is "tRNA-Gly". It matches the Rfam family "tRNA". From Rfam's summary of the family: Transfer RNA (tRNA) molecules are approximately 80 nucleotides in length. Their secondary structure includes four short double-helical elements and three loops (D, anti-codon, and T loops). Further hydrogen bonds mediate the characteristic L-shaped molecular structure. tRNAs have two regions of fundamental functional importance: the anti-codon, which is responsible for specific mRNA codon recognition, and the 3' end, to which the tRNAs corresponding amino acid is attached (by aminoacyl-tRNA synthetases). tRNAs cope with the degeneracy of the genetic code in two manners: having more than one tRNA (with a specific anti-codon) for a particular amino acid; and 'wobble' base-pairing, i.e. permitting non-standard base-pairing at the 3rd anti-codon position. Lineage: Bacteria; Bacillati; Actinomycetota; Actinomycetes; Micrococcales; Dermabacteraceae. The record is from RNAcentral.